Molecule: small nucleolar RNA, 77 nt
Organism: Dalotia coriaria
Lineage: Eukaryota; Metazoa; Arthropoda; Insecta; Coleoptera; Staphylinidae
Product: small nucleolar RNA R38
Exons: 1
Source: RefSeq, a predicted model, not a curated record
UUUUAUUAUGAUGAUCUGCUUUAAUCAGUUAUCCCUGUCAUAAAAUAAUUGAUGAGACCUUGAUUACUGAAAUUCAC